CCCAGGUAACAGAGACAGGAUGAGACAGAAUGGCCUCAAGUUGCACCAUAGGCUGUUCAGGUUGGAUCUUAAGAAAAAUUUAUUCUCAGGAAGAGUGGUGAUGCUUUGGAACAGGCUGCCAGGGAGGUGGUGGAGGUGUCCCAGAGCAGGGCCCUCACCUCACGUGCCUCUGAAGAGGCCCAAGGCCGGCUGGGGGAGGUGGGGAAGCUAAGGAGUGUGAGAGCUGCCUGACAGGACUACUGCCAGAAACACACAGAAUCGCUGAAUUUCAUUUUAUUUUAUUGCAGAUAGCCUUCAGGAACCACUUUUGCUGAUGUGCUUGAGGGACGUGGUUAUGGCAAACGAGCCCUAGAGGAAAGGCGGCAGGGGGAGCAGUAGGAGCAAGGCCGGCACCGAGCCCCUUCCUGCCUCCGGGACGGAGAGUGCACCCCGACGCCAUUUUCCGCCCGAGAGGCCCAAUGGGCAGCGUUAGCGGGGCGCCUGGCGCUGUAAUACCGGCCCCACCUCCCCCGCUAUGCCAUUGGCGCUUUCGUGACAGAGGGCGGGGAUUUUCCGUUCCGGCCACCAAUCGGCCGCCUCCCCUGCGUGACGCUACUUCCGGUCGUCUGGCCCGCCGCACCCAAUGGGAGGGAGGCAGUGGGGCGGGACGCCUCAUCCUCACCGAGGCAACGGGCGGACGGACGGUUCCGGGUGUGCGCGAGGCUGACGGCAGCGGUGGGAUGAUUCGACUCCAGAAUUUAUUUUUGAAUGGAAGCAUGCUCUUUUCCAGUAGAAGAUGUUGAUCCUAACGUAUAAUGAUGGAGAAGGGGAUAAGCUCGGUAGAAGUGUUACCUUCCAAAUCAUCUCAGGUUACAGCUGUAAAAGUGGUGGUCAAAGAGCCCGAAACAAAGCAGACCCAAAGAGGGAAACGAGUGGGAUUUGUGCUUGUUCAUGCAGGUGCGGGUUAUCAUUCUGAAUCCAAAGCUAAAGAAUACAAGCAUGUGUGCAAAAGAGCCUGCCAGAAGGCGAUUGAAAAGCUACAGGCUGGUGCUCUUGCGACAGAUGCAGUGACUGCAGCACUUAUAGAACUAGAGGAUUCUCCUUUUACAAAUGCAGGAAUGGGUUCUAACUUAAACCUUCUGGGUGAGAUAGAAUGUGAUGCCAGUAUAAUGGAUGGAAAGUCAUUAAAUUUUGGAGCAGUUGGCGCACUGAGUGGAAUCAAGAAUCCAGUUUCAGUUGCAAAUAGAUUGUUGUGUGAAGGGCAGAAAGGAAAACUCUCUGCUGGCAGAAUUCCGCCUUGCUUUUUAGUUGGUGAAGGAGCUUUCAGAUGGGCAGUUGAUCACGGGAUACCAGCAUGUCCUCCAGGUAUCAUGGCUACAAGGUUUAGUUUAGCAGCUUUUAAGAGGAACAAAAGGAAGCUGGAGUUGGCUGAAAAGGUAGAAACUGAUCUCAUUCAACUAAAGAAGAGAAGACAAUCAAAUGAAAAGGGCUCCAGAGUCAUGUGCAGAAUGUGUGGGAGACGCUCAAAGGCCAGUGGUGGUAAUACAGGAGGUGGUCAAAUAAAGCUCUACUCAUUGGAGAAUGACUCAGGAACACUGGAUACAGUCGGUGCAGUAGUUGUUGACCAAGAAGGAAAUGUUGCUGCCGCUGUCUCCAGUGGAGGUUUAGCACUGAAGCAUCCUGGAAGAGUUGGUCAGGCAGCUCUUUAUGGUUGUGGCUGCUGGGCUGAAAAUACAGGAGCUCAUACACCUUACUCCACUGCUGUUGUGGAGAGCACCUUGUACGGACCAUACUGGCCAGAGAAUGUUCAUGUGCUUUGCAAACAGAAGAUGCCCACCAAGCUCUCCUAGAGACUAUGCAAAACAAGUUUAUCGUGGAAUUUCUGUGGAGCCAUACAACAGAGAGCAUGUGUGUAGGAUAUAUGUCUGCGCAGGAUGGCAAGGCUAAGAAUUGAAACUGAGUUUAGCAGCAGAAACUGGAAAAAUCAUAAACAUCAAACAGCAGAGAUUAACCGAGGAGCCACCUCUUCUUUGGAAUACAGCACUGAAUGGAGAAAAAGGCAGACUCACAUUUCAAGACUUCCUCCUGGAGCGGUGGCAGGACAGUCCGUCGCAAUAGAAGGAGGAGUUUGCCGACUAGAGAGCCCAGAAAGCUGAACAGCUGAUUCCUCACUUCAUUGCAAAGAAUGUGAAUGACCUUUUCUACUAUAAGUUUUUUUUUGUGUCUUAACAAAUGUUGGAAAUUCUACUCUUGCUUUAUACCCUGUAUUGCCACCAUGCGCUCCAUAACUUGAGACAAGUGCUGCUGUAGUUUGUUCUCACUCUGUGAAUGGGAGUGUGUGCGUGUUCAUUUUUUCCCUAACAAAAUAGGACCUCUUCCCAGUUGUACAAAGAUUAUAUAUGAUUAAUGAUUACAUUUUCAUUGUUUUAUGUUUGAAAAAUAUCUGAAAGUUAAAACGAAGUAAUAAUUUAAAGAUGUGGUCACAAUUGUCAUUCAUGUUCUAAAUUUAAAAGUAACAGGCCUUUGAAGUGGAUAUAUAAAUAUGCAAAAAUGAUUAUAGUUUUGAAGUUUCUCAGUGGUUUAAGGAAAUCCAGUGGUGGUUUAAACAUGGGUUGUUUUCUUCCUCCCCAAUAAGGAGGAUUUUUUUUUGUCAAAGAAUGGUUUCAGUGAAACAAACUAGAGCAAAAUUAAGGCUAGAAUUGUUCUAAAUAAUCUUAUAAGUCGUAUCUCUGUUUCCAAACUAAGAUGUUAAUAGCUUCAAGCUGUAUCUAUUACAAAAUCCUAUAUGAAGAUAAUGUAUCGUAAUGCAGUCUUUAUGUAUAAUGGAAUAUUACAGUGUAAAUAAGAAAACAAAGUUUAUGGAAAGAUUCGAUAUUAUUCUUUGUUUCUGUUUUAAAUCUAUUUUUAAGAGAGGUACAGAAAUGAGCAUAUUACUGGAUGCGAAGUGCAAUGUGUAUUGAAUGGAUGUUGGGAGGUCUGAUACUAGCUUUCUUACCGAUAAAGCAACUUCCUAAAGUCCAGCCACAGCAUGGGUAUUUAUAUAACUGUGUGUAAUAUGUAUGUACUGUGCAUAAAUUUACUGUAAUUUUUUUUACACCUUCAACAAAACUGCAGUAUAAAACAGUGUAACCCUUGUCUGCCUUGUGAAGCAUUGGCAGCUGAACUGUCUUUUGUCACUGGUUCUGAUACGUUAGCCAGAUCGCCUUGUGUCCUAAAAGUGACUUCUCACAUACAAUCUCCCAUUCAGUACUUUUUUCUUCACAGCACUGGCAGCAAUAGAAGACUUUUGUAAUUAAUUCAUUAUCAUGAUAAGUAUGCCAAAGAGAAACUAAAUUAGAUCAUCUUUUUCCCUGGUGGAUAUUUGACAAUUCUGUUUUCAGAAAUAGUGGAUGAAUAGAUAUUCAGACUGUAUGCGCUUAAUUGGGCAUUGUACUAUCCUCUUUUGUCAUGUUGUGCCUGCCUAUAACAGACCUACUUGACUGAUUAAAUGGUUACAUUGAUUGUAGUACCAAUGUCUCAUGGAUAAAAAUCUUAAUACAUUUUUUAGUAGCCUGAAUUCAUUUUCACUCUUACGUUAAAUAAUACAUUGAGAUAUGUUCUUAUUUGUGUCUGUUUUUUUUCAUCGUGACAUCGGUGUAGUCCUAUAGUUUAAGAUAUUUCUAUGAAUUCUUGUAAAUAAUAUGAAACAAGCUUUUCAGUUGCAAAAACAAACAGUGAAAUUCAUCUAUCUAAAAAGUAGUUUGUGCUGAGGUGUCCGUCUGCAUCCUCAGAGGUACAGCCAGAUUCUGGUCCGAUAGAGUGAAGAAGUGUAGUGGUUUAUACUGGUUGAGGUUCAGCAGUGCAGAGCACAACACUUCAGAAAUGUUCUAACAAAGUCUAGUUGUCAGAGCUACUGAAAUUUCUCUAACAUACAACAUUACGUGAUUGUGCGGGUGAUCUGCACUGUAUAAUGUGUGAAGAAUAGUUAUAAUUCUUGUGAGUUUGUAUGUACCCAUAUUUGAAAAUGACAUUUUUUUUGCAGAAGUUGAAAUGAUGGAGUUAAGCUUUCAUUCAAGUGCUUUUCAGUAUUGCCUUUGUAGAAACAUUGGCGUAAAUUCACUUUCAUGUAAUAAGGAAUGCAGAAGGGUUUGUACAAUGUGUAAAUUGAUAAAUUGUUUCUUCCACUUACUUGCUUAAUGUCUCUUUAUGGAGACCUGGAUACCAGCUUAUGACUUUUUCCCAUAUGCUAUCUCAGAAUUUUAUUUUUGUGUGUAUUCAUACAUAUGCAUUUAUAUAUAAAAUCGUAACUCAAAAAUCA
Molecule: RNA transcript, 4276 nt
Organism: Numida meleagris (helmeted guineafowl)
Lineage: Eukaryota; Metazoa; Chordata; Aves; Galliformes; Numididae
Gene: TASP1
Gene name: taspase 1
Exons: 15
Source: RefSeq, a predicted model, not a curated record